CACCCUCCAUGACCUCGAGGGUCCCGUACCUGGGACCCCUGCGCUGGCUCCUCAUUUGGUUCCCCAAGCCCCAGAAGCCCCCAGUCCUGGAGCUCCUUGCACCAGGCCAGGCGCAGGACUGAGAGGUUCCACAGCUGAAGAUGUGCUUGUGAUCCCUGUGGCUCAUCUCUGGAGGGUCCAUCUUAUCCAGAGUACCAUCAAAGGGAAGCAGAAAAGUAGAAAUGACACAUAAUAUGAACUCCCGCAAGACACUUAUGAACCAGAUCCUCCCAGGAAGACAACCGGAAUUCAUCUCCAGAUGUGGAGCCAAACUACCAGCCUGGCUUCUGCCAGAGAGAAGUAGCCACCUAUGGCCACCAUGGCUGUCAUCACUGCAAGGAGCAUGUGCCUACUCCCCAUGAGCGCCUUUGGGAGUCACCAAAGAAGAGAAUGACUCAGUCCAUAGGGUCCUGGACUCCAGUCUCUCUGGCUCCAUCUAUCCUUGGUAUUGUCACCGGGCAAAAGGCAAAUUGACCAUGAUCUUCAGACCCUUUGACGGUUCUCCACUUAUAGGGAUCUAGAACACAGCAAGUCAGGCGCUCCUCCUCUGAUCUUCAGGAAGCUAUACCUCUCCCUCCUGCUCUCACAGGUCAGCCUCCAGGAAUCCACUCUUUUCCUGUCUUCUCCACUGCCAACUUGCCUUCUCAGCUGCACACAGAAGUUGCUCAGCCAAUACUUCCUGGAUUGAAUUAAGGACGGACAGUUCUCUACCUCUAUUUUCACCAAAGGUUUGCUCAGGGAAGGGGUGGGGAGAUAAAGCAGAUCAACUACUGAGAGGGGAGAAAAGCCUUCUGGGCCAGGGAGGCUGGGCAUAGGGAAGAGAACACUGAUGGGGACUGACCAAGACCCCAACCUGAGGGGGGGAGGCAGGGAAGUCUGUCUGAGCCAAGAUAAGAUAGUGGCCAUCCUGUCUUCUGGGGUUCAGCAGCCAACUCAAGGAGCAAAGGGAGAGGGUAAAAAAACCUGUUCUGGGGCCGGCCUGGUGGCUCAGGCGGUUAGAGCUCCAUGCUCCUAACUCUGAAGGCUGCUGGUUCGAUUCCCACGU
This is a long non-coding RNA of Rhinolophus ferrumequinum (greater horseshoe bat), 1084 nucleotides long. RefSeq lists it as uncharacterized. The transcript is spliced from 7 exons. NCBI's taxonomy places the organism in Eukaryota, Metazoa, Chordata, Mammalia, Chiroptera, Rhinolophidae. The record is from RefSeq and is a predicted model, not a curated record.